This is an RNA transcript of Megalobrama amblycephala (Wuchang bream), 1369 nucleotides long. It is a transcript of the gene named B-cell translocation gene 4, with no coding region annotated. The record is from RefSeq and is a predicted model, not a curated record. NCBI's taxonomy places the organism in Eukaryota, Metazoa, Chordata, Actinopteri, Cypriniformes, Xenocyprididae. The transcript is spliced from 5 exons.
CAGCACAUCCUGAGACAUUAAAAAGCUGACUGAUGUUGAAAGAGUUUGAAAUUCUAAGUUGUGGAGCCUAAUGUGACUUUGCAUAGCUGAAGCGAAACACCAGCGUGGCCAACUUAUAAAUUGUUUGUAAUAUAAAGCAAGUUUAUUUGCUUGUAUUUUUUUUUUAUAAUAGUGUACUUUUAAGAUUUUUAAAAAUCAAAACCAAGUUAAUUAGCUUGUCUUAUUGACCCACCAUCUCAAGAUUUGACAAUGAAGGAAGAGAUUGCAGCAACAGUGUUUUUUAUUGCAAGACUAGCAAAGAAACAUGGUAAACUGGAUCGCGUUCGGAGGGAGAAAUUUGCUGUGGAACUAACUUCAGUGCUCUUUGAGAGCUACAAAAGUCAUUGGUACCCAGAAAAACCAACCAAAGGACAAGCUUUUAGGUGUUUAAGGAUGAACAAAGCUCAAAUGAGAGACCCAGUUAUUGAACGUGCUUGUUGCCAGAGUGACAUUGUUUAUGAAGAUCUUGGAUUACCAAAGGAAAUGACCAUUUGGGUUGAUCCAGGAGAGGUGUCAUGCCGGUAUGGUGAAAAGUCAACCCCAUUUUGUGUUACUCAGUUUGAGGGUCAAAAGAGAGAUGGGGAGUUCUCCCGUAGGAUAAAUAAUGCUGUGGAAAGGGCUUCAUCGGAUUACCACUCUGGAACCUCCUCUGAUGAGGAGGGAGGAAACACCAGCAUGAGCAGUACCAUGAGCAGCACCGCGAGUAGCAGCAAUAGCAGCAGUCUUUCCGUUCCAGAGCCCAAAUGCAUUCCGACAGUCUCCAAUCCAAACAGUGUAUACCAGGAGCAUCAAUAAAGAUUGAGCUGGACUAGGACCUGGGACCAUGAGCAGCACAGCGAGUAGCAGCAAUAGCAGCACUCUUUCCGUUCCAGAGCCCGAAUGCAUUCCGACAGUCUCCAAUCCAAACAGUGUAUACCAGUUCAGUGAGUUUAGGCAGCCCCCUCCCAUGCAAAACUGGGGGACAUACCCUAAAAGAAAACCAUACGUUGCUGAUGGCUACCAGCAGCAUUCUUCAGGAGGACCAUACCCACCUCAUAAGAGUUUUAAGGGCUACAGGCCCUCCUAUGCUUUCUCUGGCCCAAGGGUGGAUCGAUAUCACUGGGUCAGCAAGAACCGCUCUUAGACUUUCAUUUUAAAACCAAAGUGUAUCAUUUUGUUGAUCAGCUAUGCAGGCAUAUGUGAGUGUUAUUGAAUAACUUAAAUGUAAUGAUUUAAUAAUUUAUGGAGUCAUGUGGCAAUGCCAUGAAUGCACUUUUAAAGUUAAUUUUAUUAAAUGGUUUUUGUGGAGUUGAAAAGACUUUCUAAAUAAAAUCUAUUUUAAUAAAACUUG